This 74-nucleotide transfer RNA is filed under the name Gammaproteobacteria bacterium. Its description in RNAcentral is "tRNA-Gly". It matches the Rfam family "tRNA". Rfam says of the family: Transfer RNA (tRNA) molecules are approximately 80 nucleotides in length. Their secondary structure includes four short double-helical elements and three loops (D, anti-codon, and T loops). Further hydrogen bonds mediate the characteristic L-shaped molecular structure. tRNAs have two regions of fundamental functional importance: the anti-codon, which is responsible for specific mRNA codon recognition, and the 3' end, to which the tRNAs corresponding amino acid is attached (by aminoacyl-tRNA synthetases). tRNAs cope with the degeneracy of the genetic code in two manners: having more than one tRNA (with a specific anti-codon) for a particular amino acid; and 'wobble' base-pairing, i.e. permitting non-standard base-pairing at the 3rd anti-codon position. Lineage: Bacteria; Pseudomonadati; Pseudomonadota; Gammaproteobacteria. The record is from RNAcentral. RNAcentral also lists the same sequence under 2 other names.
GCGGGUGUAGUUUAAUGGUAGAACUUCAGAUUUCCAAUCUGACUACGAGGGUUCGAUUCCCUUCACCCGCUCCA